CUACGGGGCGCUGCAGUAGGGAAUAUUGGACAAUGGGCGCAAGCCUGAUCCAGCAAUGCCGCGUGAGUGAUGAAGGCCUUAGGGUUGUAAAGCUCUUUUACCAGAGAUGAUAAUGACAGUAUCUGGGGAAUAAGCCCCGGCUAACUCCGUGCCAGCAGCCGCGGUAAUACGGAGGGGGCUAGCGUUGUUCGGAAUUACUGGGCGUAAAGCGCACGUAGGCGGCGAUUUAAGUCAGAGGUGAAAGCCCGGGGCUCAACCCCGGAACUGCCUUUGAGACUGGAUUGCUUGAAUCCGGGAGAGGUGAGUGGAAUUCCGAGUGUAGAGGUGAAAUUCGUAGAUAUUCGGAAGAACACCAGUGGCGAAGGCGGCUCACUGGACCGGCAUUGACGCUGAGGUGCGAAAGCGUGGGGAGCAAACAGGAUUAGAUACCCCAGUAGUC
This 439-nucleotide ribosomal RNA is filed under the name uncultured bacterium. RNAcentral's name for it is "partial 16S ribosomal RNA". It matches the Rfam family "Bacterial small subunit ribosomal RNA", at positions 339 to 795 of the family's 1533-position model. The record is from RNAcentral.